GAUUUGCCGGUUCUUCCACGCCAACAGAUGGUACGUGAUCAUGUUUGGUUUUGUUUCUUGUUUUUCCCCUUUCAGUUAAUUUUGAUAAGUGUAGCUGUAGCCACUAAUUUGAUUAUUCCAUUUCAAUUAUAUUGCAUUCUGUUGAACCUGAACCAAUUGGUUGCAAGUUGUAUUACCUUGUAGUUUAGUAGAUAACAAAUGACUUAUAUGCAACAGUAUUAUAACUAUUUUGAAGUAGCAUUUUUUACAUCUUUAAUCAAGCAUGCACUAGCUAAUUACUUAACACUAGCAUUUUUUAAAGAGUAAGGUUGUACUAUGUUAGAAUGGGUAAGUAAAUAUUUCUUCAAGAGUAACAUUGUCUUUUGAUGCAUCGAAAUUUAAUUAAGAAAGCCUAAAUUAACAUUGUGAUAGUUUUAUAGACAGAGAAAAUGAAAGGCCCGAUAGCGGACGAAGCAUUUCCCUGAUCCUGAUCAACCGCAAUUGGUUCUUCAAGUGCAAGUCUUGACUCGGUGUUAGAGACAGUCGACAAAGUCCAUUGAUACAUCUAUGUUUUCUGUUACAGUAGUAUUUAUUUACAUAUAGUUUUCCAUUUAGAUCUGUGUGCUUAAUUGACAGUUUCUAGUUUCUAAAACAUUCUCUCUAUCUAUCUACCUGUAGUGGCUCAUGC
This 667-nucleotide long non-coding RNA is filed under the name Trifolium pratense (red clover). Its description in RNAcentral is "long non-coding RNA (TPRA_LNC006126)". Lineage: Eukaryota; Viridiplantae; Streptophyta; Magnoliopsida; Fabales; Fabaceae. The record is from RNAcentral.